UGGGGGAUAUUGCACAAUGGGCGAAAGCCUGAUGCAGCGACGCCGCGUGGGGGAUGAAGGCCUUCGGGUUGUAAACUUCUUUUGCUCUGAACAAGGCAUGCCUUUGGGGUGUGUUGAGUGUAGGGGUUGAUUAGCGCCGGCUAACUACGUGUCAGCAGCCGCGGUAAUACGUAGGGCGCGAGCGUUGUCCGGAAUUAUUGGGCGUAAAGGGCUUGUAGGUGGCUGGUUGCGUCUGUCGUGAAAGCUCAUGGCUUAACUGUGGGUUUGCGGUGGGUACGGGCUGGCUUGAGUGCAGUAGGGGAGGCUGGAAUUCCUGGUGUAGCGGUGGAAUGCGCAGAUAUCAGGAGGAAUACCGGUGGCGAAGGCGGGUCUCUGGGCUGUUACUGACGCUGAGGAGCGAAAGCGUGGGGAGCGAACAGG
This 420-nucleotide ribosomal RNA is filed under the name Fusobacteriota bacterium. Its description in RNAcentral is "Fusobacteria bacterium partial 16S ribosomal RNA". It matches the Rfam family "Bacterial small subunit ribosomal RNA", at positions 355 to 776 of the family's 1533-position model. The record is from RNAcentral. Lineage: Bacteria; Fusobacteriati; Fusobacteriota.